AGAGUUUGAUCCUGGCUCAGAGCGAACGCUAGCGGCAGGCUUAACACAUGCAAGUCGAGCGCCAGGUUUCGGCCUGGAGCGGCGAACGGGUGAGUAACACGUAGGUCACGUACCCUAUGGUGGGGAAUACCCCGGGGAAACUCGGAUCAAUGCCCCAUAUGUCCGAAAGGAUGAAAGCGCUUCGGCGCGCCAGAGGAUCGGCCUGCGGCCCAUUAUUUAAUCCUAGUUGGUGAGGUAACGGCUCACCAAGGGUACGAUGGGUAGCUGGUCUGAGAGGACGAUCAGCCACACUGGAACUGUGACACGGUCCAGACUCCUACGGGAGGCAGCAGUGGGGAAUAUUGGACAAUGGGCGAAAGCCUGAUCCAGCCAUGCCGCGUGAGUGAUGAAGGCCUUCGGGUUGUAAAGCUCUGUCGUGGGGGAAGAAGUUCUGACGGUACCCCACAAGAAAGCACCGGCUAACUCCGUGCCAGCAGCCGCGGUAAUACGGAGGGUGCAAGCGUUGCUCGGAUUUACUGGGCGUAAAGCGCACGCAGGCGGUCUGGAAGGUCGGGUGUGAAAGCCCGGGGCUCAACCCCGGAACUGCACUCGAAACCGCCAGACUUGAGGUCGAGAGAGGAGGGUAGAAUUCCUGGUGUAGAGGUGAAAUUCGUUGAUAUCAGGAGGAAUACCGGUGGCGAAGGCGGCCCUCUGGCUCGAUUCUGACGCUCAUGUGCGAAAGCGUGGGGAGCAAACAGGAUUAGAUACCCUGGUAGUCCACGCUGUAAACGAUGAAUGCCAGGUGUUGGAGGUUUCACCCCUUCAGUGCCGUCGCUAACGCUUUAAGCAUUCCGCCUGGGGAGUACGGUCGCAAGAUUAAAACUCAAAGGAAUUGACGGGGGCCCGCACAAGCGGUGGAGUAUGUGGUUUAAUUCGACGCGACGCGCAGAACCUUACCCGGCCUUGACAUCCUUGGAACCCGGCGGGAACGUUGGGGUGCCCCCUCACGGGGGAGCCAAGAGACAGGUGCUGCAUGGCUGUCGUCAGCUCGUGUCGUGAGAUGUUCGGUUAAGUCCGGCAACGAGCGCAACCCCUGCUGAUAGUUGCCAUCAUUCAGUUGGGCACUCUAUCGAGACUCCCGGUGUCAAACCGGCGGAAGAUGGGGAUGACGUCAAGUCCUCAUGGCCCUUACGGUCGGGGCUACACACGUACUACAAUGGUAUCUACAGAGGGCAGCGAGACCGCGAGGUGGAGCCAAUCCCAAAAAAGAUGCCUCAGUUUGGAUUGGAGUCUGCAACUCGACUCCAUGAAACCGGAAUCGCUAGUAAUCGCGGAUCAGAAUGCCGCGGUGAAUACGUUCCCGGGCCUUGUACACACCGCCCGUCACACCACGAAAGUUGGCUCAACCCGAAGUCGCUCACCCAACCCGCAAGGGAGGGAGGCGCCAACGGUCGGGUCGAUGGUUGGGGUGAAGUCGUAACAAGGUAGCCGUAGGGGAACCUGCGGCUG
This 1488-nucleotide ribosomal RNA is filed under the name metagenome. Its description in RNAcentral is "bacterial SSU rRNA". It matches the Rfam family "Bacterial small subunit ribosomal RNA". The record is from RNAcentral.